GAUGAACGCUGGCGGCGUGCCUAAUACAUGCAAGUCGAGCGAACAGACGAGGAGCUUGCUCCUCUGACGUUAGCGGCGGACGGGUGAGUAACACGUGGAUAACCUACCUAUAAGACUGGGAUAACUUCGGGAAACCGGAGCUAAUACCGGAUAAUAUAUUGAACCGCAUGGUUCAAUAGUGAAAGACGGUUUUGCUGUCACUUAUAGAUGGAUCUGCGCCGCAUUAGCUAGUUGGUAAGGUAAAGGCUUACCAAGGCAACGAGGCGUAGCCGACCUGAGAGGGUGGUCGGCCACACUGGAGCUGAGACACGGUCCAGACUCUUGCGGGAGGCAGCAGUAGGGAAUCGGCCGCAAUGGGCGAAAGCCUGACGGAGCAACGCCGCGUGAGUGAUGAAGGUCUUCGGAUCGUAAAACUCUGUUAUUAGGGAAGAACAAAUGUGUAAGUAACUAUGCACGUCUUGACGGUACCUAAUCAGAAAGCCACGGCUAACUACGUG
Molecule: ribosomal RNA, 497 nt
Filed under: uncultured bacterium
Lineage: Bacteria
Description: partial 16S ribosomal RNA
Rfam family: Bacterial small subunit ribosomal RNA
Source: RNAcentral